CUGCAGCCCGAGUGGUGAUCGAUUUUAUUGAGCCUAAAGCGUCCGUAGCCGGACUAGUAAACCCUUGGGUAAAUCGGGCAGCUUAACUGUCCGACUUCCGAGGAGACUGCUAGUCUUGGGACUGGGAGAGGUCAGAGGUACUCCAGGGGUAGGGGCUAAAUCCUGUAAUCCUUGGGGGACCACCAGUGGCGAAGGCGUCUGACUAGAACGGAUCCGACGGUAAGGGACGAAACCCUGGGGCGCAAACCGGAUUAGAGACCCGAGUAGUCC
Molecule: ribosomal RNA, 270 nt
Filed under: uncultured archaeon
Lineage: Archaea
Description: partial 16S ribosomal RNA
Rfam family: Archaeal small subunit ribosomal RNA
Source: RNAcentral